RNAcentral lists this ribosomal RNA (407 nucleotides) under uncultured bacterium. RNAcentral describes it as "partial 16S ribosomal RNA". It matches the Rfam family "Bacterial small subunit ribosomal RNA", at positions 28 to 526 of the family's 1533-position model. The record is from RNAcentral.
GACGAACGCUGGCGGCGUGCCUAAUACAUGCAAGUAGGACGCAGUUGCGAACGGGUGCGUAACGCGUAGGUAACUACCUGUUAGAGGGGGAUAACUAUUGGCAACGAUAGCUAAUACCGCCUACUAGUAGAUGGACCUUCGUUGUAUUAGCUAGUAGGGAGGGUAAAGGCCUACCUAGGCAAUGAUACAUAGCCGACCUGGGAGGGUGAGCGGCCAAACUGGGACUGAGACACGGCCCAGACGCCUACGGGAGGCAGCAGUAGGGAAGCUUCGGCAAAGGGGGGAAACCUGACCGAGCAACGCCGCGUGAGGGAAGAAGGUUUUCGGAUCGUAAAGCUCUGUUGUUAAGGAAGCGGUACUUAACCAGAAAGGGACGGCUAACUACGUGCCAGCAGCCGCGGUAAUAC